This 329-nucleotide long non-coding RNA is filed under the name Citrus x clementina. RNAcentral's name for it is "Citrus clementina (C. clementina) long non-coding RNA (CCLE_LNC003277)". The record is from RNAcentral. Lineage: Eukaryota; Viridiplantae; Streptophyta; Magnoliopsida; Sapindales; Rutaceae.
CCGGCUUUCGCCUCACGAAACAGCUAACAAAAGCUGCAGCUCUGGCUUUCACAAUGAAUCUCCAGGUUCUUGUUCCGAAAAUAUUGCCUCUCAGAGAGCAAUUUCGGUAUGUAAUCCAAUCCUAUUAUGAAAACAGAAUCAGAAAAAGCACUUCUAGUACUAAACCUGAAGCAGUACUCGGAGCAGGGUUGAACCUGAAAGCUGGAAUUGAGCAUUUCUGCUUACAUCCUGGAGGAAGAGCUGUGAUUGAUGGGACUGGAAAGGGCUUGGAAUUGGAUGAAUACGAUCUUGAGCCAGCAAGAAUGGCGCUUCAUCGAUUCGGAAACACA